RNAcentral lists this ribosomal RNA (484 nucleotides) under uncultured bacterium. Its description in RNAcentral is "partial 16S ribosomal RNA". It matches the Rfam family "Bacterial small subunit ribosomal RNA", at positions 28 to 507 of the family's 1533-position model. The record is from RNAcentral.
AUUGAACGCUGGCGGCAUGCUUUACACAUGCAAGUCGAACGGCAGCGCGGGCUUCGGCCUGGCUGCGAGUGGCGAACGGGUGAGUAAUGCAUCGGAACGUGCCCAGUAGUGGGGUAUAGCCCGGCGAAAGCCGGAUUAAUACCGCAUACGACCUGAGGGUGAAAGCGGGGGACCGAAAGGCCUCGCGCUAUUGGAGCGGCCGAUGUCGGAUUAGCUAGUUGGUGGGGUAAAGGCUUACCAAGGCGACGAUCCGUAGCUGGUCUGAGAGGACGACCAGCCACACUGGGACUGAGACACGGCCCAGACUCCUACGGGAGGCAGCAGUGGGGAAUUUUGGACAAUGGGGGCAACCCUGAUCCAGCCAUGCCGCGUGCGGGAAGAAGGCCUUCGGGUUGUAAACCGCUUUUGUUCGGGAAGAAAUCCUCUGGGCUAAUACCCCGGGGGGAUGACGGUACCGGAAGAAUAAGCACCGGCUAACUACGUG